Molecule: long non-coding RNA, 1039 nt
Filed under: Podarcis muralis (Common wall lizard)
Lineage: Eukaryota; Metazoa; Chordata; Lepidosauria; Squamata; Lacertidae
Description: lncRNA (ENSPMRG00000007350.1)
Source: RNAcentral
GGGAAAUAUCAUGCAAAUGGUGGGCUUAACACACUGAGGGGCUUCCCGUUUAUACAUCCAAGACUUGGUGAUGAGUAGGAAGAACCUCAAGUUUCACCGAGUGCUUCCCAAUAUGCUGAUGAAAAUGGCCUGGGCUUUGAGGUCCAGCUUCCUCUCCCACUUCAAAUGACUGACAGGGGCCCAGCAGUGCCUCCAGCAUGGCCACUUUCUCCCGCAGGGUCACAACCUUGGUGCCUGGUGGUCCUGGGGCUUCGGUCAUCCUUCAGCUUCCACUGUCCUGGCCCUGUACCUCUUCCUCCUCCUCCAACCACCAGGGCAGCGACAGAGACUCAGUGGCUGAACAAAGCUAGCCAGAGCCUUCAGCCUCCUCAUGUUAAGGAAGGGGGCAUAAAAAACAGCGAGAAGUGGAAGCAGCCGCUGAAGAAAAUCAACCAGAAGAAUUUGCCAGCAAGAGGCUUUAACAUCCGUUUCAAAAGUCAUAGAUUGCAAUUUAAAAUGGAAGUUCCCGUUUGAACAAAGAAGGAAAGGUUAUGAGGAAAUACAGUUGGAAAUUACUGAUGUAGAAAGCCAGCGCUGAUUGCUUCUGUCCUGCAGCUCCCCCAAAUGUACGGCCUGGAAACUGCUGCAUUCUCUUGCAAAAGAAUAGCAGAGGGGGCAUAUUUGACUCCCGUCACUCUCAUUACGGCUUGGAGAAUGCAGCUUGAAUGCAUCCUGCGUGGAAUCUCUGCGUUUCUCAUUUAACAUAUUUUAUGGACUGCUUGUCAGAUGGGCCCUGUGUGCUCUGCUCAGAUAAUCUUGGAAACAUAUAUGAGUUAUACAAAUUAUCAUUCUAGAAAAGGAAAUAAAGUCAAUUGACCACUGAUUUUUCUUUUCCCCUCAUCCCAGCGCCUUGUAUAAGCAUCCAAGUGUAAUGAUUGUGAACUCAAAGAGUUUCUGUUUCACUGCACUUUAUCUUUGCAGGUAAUGAAGUUAGCGGGUUCAGCUUUAGUUCUUUUCUGCCUCUCUUUUUCUAUUUCAUUUUUCACCCAGCAAAGGCCGC